AACGCGAAGAACCUUACCCAGGCUUGACAUGCAGUAGACCGAUCCAGAGAUGGGUCUUUCCUUCGGGACUGCUGCACAGGUGCUGCAUGGCUGUCGUCAGCUCGUGCCGUGAGGUGUUGGGUUAAGUCCCGCAACGAGCGCAACCCUUAUCAUUAGUUGCCAACAUUUAAGGUGGGAACUCUAAUGAGACUGCCCGGGUUAACCGGGAGGAAGGUGAGGAUGACGUCAAGUCCGCAUGGCCCUUAUGUCUGGGGCUACACACGUGCUACAAUGGUCGGUACAGAAGGCAGCGAAACCGCGAGGUGAAGCAAAUCCCUAAAACCGGCCUCAGUUCAGAUUGUAGUCUGCAACUCGACUACAUGAAGACGGAAUUGCUAGUAAUGGCGAGUCAGCAACAUCGCCGUGAAUACGUUCCCGGGCCUUGUA
RNAcentral lists this ribosomal RNA (426 nucleotides) under uncultured Chlamydiae bacterium. RNAcentral's name for it is "bacterial SSU rRNA". It matches the Rfam family "Bacterial small subunit ribosomal RNA", at positions 958 to 1385 of the family's 1533-position model. Lineage: Bacteria; Pseudomonadati; Chlamydiota; Chlamydiia. The record is from RNAcentral.